GCGAGAGUGGUGAAACUGGUAGACACGCCAGACUUAGGAUCUGGUGCCUUUGGCAUAGGGGUCCGAGUCCCCUCUCUCGCA
RNAcentral lists this transfer RNA (81 nucleotides) under Treponema sp. RNAcentral describes it as "tRNA-Leu". It matches the Rfam family "tRNA". Rfam says of the family: Transfer RNA (tRNA) molecules are approximately 80 nucleotides in length. The record is from RNAcentral. Lineage: Bacteria; Pseudomonadati; Spirochaetota; Spirochaetia; Treponematales; Treponemataceae. RNAcentral also lists the same sequence under 1 other name.